GAUGAACGCUGGCGGCGUGCCUAAUACAUGCAAGUCGAGCGAACGGACGAGAAGCUUGCUUCUCUGAUGUUAGCGGCGGACGGGUGAGUAACACGUGGAUAACCUACCUAUAAGACUGGUAUAACUUCGGGAAACCGGAGCUAAUACCGGUUAAUAUUUUGAACCGCAUGGUUCAAAAGUGAAAGACGGUCUUUCUGUCACUUAUAGAUGGAUCCGCGCUGCAUUAGCUAGUUGGUAAGGUAACGGCUUACCAAGGCAACGAUGCAUAGCCGACCUGAGAGGGUGAUCGGCCACACUGGAACUGAGACACGGUCCAGACUCCUACGGGAGGCAGCAGUAGGGAAUCUUCCGCAAUGGGCGAAAGCCUGACGGAGCAACGCCGCGUGAGUGAUGAAGGUCUUCGGAUCGUAAAACUCUGUUAUUAGGGAAGAACAUAUGUGUAAGUAACUGUGCACAUCUUGACGGUACCUAAUCAGAAAGCCACGGCUAACUACGUG
RNAcentral lists this ribosomal RNA (497 nucleotides) under uncultured bacterium. RNAcentral describes it as "partial 16S ribosomal RNA". It matches the Rfam family "Bacterial small subunit ribosomal RNA", at positions 28 to 507 of the family's 1533-position model. The record is from RNAcentral.